RNAcentral lists this ribosomal RNA (806 nucleotides) under uncultured cyanobacterium. Its description in RNAcentral is "bacterial SSU rRNA". It matches the Rfam family "Bacterial small subunit ribosomal RNA", at positions 56 to 902 of the family's 1533-position model. Lineage: Bacteria; Bacillati; Cyanobacteriota. The record is from RNAcentral.
UGCAGUCGUACGGGAGUUUUUACUCAAGUGGCGGACGGGUGAGUAACACGUAAGAAUUUACCUUUAGGAGGGGGAUAACAACUGGAAACGGUUGCUAAUACCCCAUAUGCUUUCGAGUGAAAUGGAUUUUUCCGCCUAGAGAGAAGCUUGCGGCUGAUUAGCUUGUUGGUGAGGUAAUGGCUCACCAAGGCGACGAUCAGUAUCUGGUUUGAGAGGAUGAUCAGACACACUGGAACUGAGACACGGUCCAGACUCCUACGGGAGGCAGCAGUGGGGAAUUUUCCGCAAUGGGCGAAAGCCUGACGGAGCAAUACCGCGUGAGGGAUGACGGCCUAUGGGUUGUAAACCUCUUUUUUCAGGGAGGAAUCAAUGACGUGUACCUGAAGAAUAAGCAUCGGCUAACUCCGUGCCAGCAGCCGCGGUAAGACGGAGGAUGUAAGUGUUAUCCGGAAUCACUGGGCGUAAAGCGUCUGUAGGUGGUUUAAUAAGUCAACUGUUAAAUCUUGAGGCUCAACCUCAAAAUCGCAGUCGAAACUAUUAGACUAGAGUAUAGUAGGGGUAAAGGGAAUUUCCAGUGGAGCGGUGAAAUGCGUAGAGAUUGGAAAGAACACCGAUGGCGAAGGCACUUUACUGGGCUAUUACUAACACUCAGAGACGACAGCUAGGGUAGCAAAUGGGAUUAGAUACCCCAGUAGUCCUAGCCGUAAACAAUGGAUACUAGAUGUUGGACAGAUCGACCUGUGCAGUAUUAAAGCUAACGCGUUAAGUAUCCCGCCUGGGUGCAGUCGUAUGCAGUCGUAAAACUC